RNA transcript from Argentina anserina (silverweed cinquefoil), 1149 nucleotides. RefSeq lists it as uncharacterized. The transcript is spliced from 3 exons. The record is from RefSeq and is a predicted model, not a curated record. Lineage: Eukaryota; Viridiplantae; Streptophyta; Magnoliopsida; Rosales; Rosaceae.
AGUUUCAACAAAUUACCCACCUCUCUCUCUCUGUGUUAUCCGUACAAGUGUCCCUCCUCCGACGGCCUCCGACGUUGCUAUCAUCUACGGACUACGGCUAUGAGUUGGAUCAAAAUCUCUCUAUGUUCUCCGUACAAGUGUACAAGCGUCCCUCCUCCGGCGGCCUCCGACGUUGCUAUCGUAUACGACUAUGAGUUGGAUCAAAAGGGAGUUGUCAUCUUCUCCAGUCCCUGCCUCUUGCUGCAAUGCAUUGCUUGAUUCCUUUCGCAAGUCUAGUAUGAUGCAUUGCUUGAUUCCUUUCGCAAGUCUGGAGAUUUACACAGACGAACAUGAAAAGUUGUUGGGUCACACUGAAAAGAGCUGGACUCUUUUUGUGGACGGGUGUGGGAAGGAUGUUUCAGGUAUAUUAUCCAAUUGCAUGUUUCUGUUACUGAGUACUGAGGUUGGAAUUUUGUUGGCUGCUGCAACAGCUCAGGUAGACAUGGCAUAGUUUGUUUUACACAUUGGUCCUUUUAAGAACAUUCAUUUGAGAUUUAAUUUCUCCCCCCUUAAAAAUGCAGGUCGAUGGUCAUCAGGUAAGUUAAUCUUAAAUGAAUGAAUGGUUUACAAUAUAUUAAUUCAUUGUUCUAUAUGUGAUCAUAAAGUGAGGGUUUUACAUUAUACAGGAACCAUCAAAAAAAUUUGGCUCAGAGUCUUUCAGGAGAUCGCAAAUUAAAACAGGCGACAUGAGAGUGUUGAUGCUCUGAUGAAAUGUGUAACAAGUGAUGAUCUGGGGUUCAGUGAAGGAAAGCCAGUUGCAGCAAUCACUAUAUACAAAUGUCUUGUCCACUGGAAGUCAUUUGAAGCAGAAAAAAGUAGUGUAUUCGACAGGCUUAUUCAGAUAAUUGGCUCAGCAAUAUAGGUAUACUAACUUUUAAUCUUAAUCUUAUUUAUUAUAGAACCAGUAAAUUAAUUUUUGUAUGUAUCUUAAGAAUCUUACUAAGAACAGUUAUAUAUGUUUGUGUAUGUCAAUUACUUAUUUCGUAUAUUGUUUGAAAGUGAUAUAAGCAUGGCAACUAAUAAAAGGUUAUUUAUUAGUAUACUUGGUGGAUAUCUUGUCCACCCCUGUAUGUUAUAUGUGUAUUGCAAGGCUGUGCAGCAAUUUAGAUU